CAAAACACAUAGCAGAGCAGAGCCAAGAGUAGGUGCUCAAGGAAUACGAAAGAGUCGCAAGAGCCUCAUACAAGUAGCUUUAUUGCAGUGCUGGGGGUGGAGUGAGGGGGAUACUAAAAACACACGUACACCUUCCUGCCUUCAAAGACCUUACAGCAAAAGGUGGAGUGAUAAACAAAGAAACGGAUCAGAAAAAGAGACCACAAACCGUCACGAGGGAUUUUUUUGUUUUUAAUGAAGUUCUCGAGGCCAGAAGUUCGAAGACGAGAUACUGGCAAGAUCAUGUUCCCUCUGAAGGCUCUGGGGAGGAGUCCUUCCUUGCCUUGUGCUAGCUCCCGCUGGUGGUCAGCAACCCUUGGCAUUCGUUGGCCUGUAGAGUCAUCACUCCAAUUUCUGCCUCAGCCAUCACGUGACUGUCUUCUCUCUGUGUGUGCGUGUCUCCAAAUCUCCUUCUCCUAAAAGGACAAAGAUCGCUGCAUUUAGGGCGCACCUUAACUUGAUUACAUCGGCAGGGACUCUAUUCCCCCCCAAAAUUAAUAUUCAUGGAACUGAAGGUUAGGACGUAACACAUCUUUUGGAGGGACACAAUUCAACCCACUAUAGUGUACAACUUACGAUCAUCGACUAAGACAUUCCUAUUAAAAGGAGAUAACAACAAUGCCACAUUUAUUACAGCUAUUUAACACUACCCCAAAAGUUCAAACCAAUGCAAGGAAAUAUAAAACUAAAAUAAGACAUAAUUAUUGGAAAGGGUUGGGCCGGGAUCAGCAUUGUGUGCAGAAAUCCAGAGAAUAUGUGUUGCUAUACAACUAAGUCUGUAAGAGAGUUUGAAAUGGUGACCACACACAGAAUAAUUGAAUACAAAUCAACAGUUUUCCUUAAUAGUAACUAAGAUCAUUGGAAGCACCAUAGAAAAAUACGCAGGUGUGGGGAGCCUGCUACACAUUUAGCUUUGUCCUUGAAGAAGUGAGAUGACUCAGAAAGAUGAACCAGAAACAAAAAAACAAACAAAAAAAUUUUUUAAAAGUGAGAUGACUCAGUAAUUAAGAAGGAUUUUCUGGAUCCCAGGGACCGAGGUUUCUGCUCCAGGCACACCUGACCUGCUUUACCACGUUGCCUGUGGUCUGCUCACUUGCCAAGAUGACUUUGGAUCCUCUCUGGCCUCCUCACUGACAGCAGGAAACACAGCGGGGCCAUCUAUGACUCUCCUUUGUCCCAUCUCUUCUGUUCAGUUCCAAGGUGCUGGGUAGGUAGCAGCCCAGAAGCCCCCUGGAUGCUUUCACUUGUCACUAGCCCGCUGGAGUAGCUGGAUUCCUGGUUGUUCAUGAGAGAAGGUCAUUUUCUAGGCAGAAGCCAAGAGCAGUGUUAAAUGUAGCCGUUUUAAACACAUCGUGGCCUUCUGCCAACUUUUUCCUCCUGUUUGUGAUUUGGCUUCACCUCCAGCUGAACAAUCAUGGGCGAAAAUCACAGAAGGACAUGGCACUGGGUAGAGGAGACAGACAUCUGCGGAUUUUGAUGGGGAAAAAGAAUUGGGGAGGAAAAGGGGAGAAAAACACACAAAAAAACAAAACAAAUAAUGAUGGUAACAAAAAUUUCACUAGCAUAAGCCAAGGAGAUGUGAAUGACCAAAAAGAUAGCUCCCAGAAAACAUGAAAGAAAACACUCUCUAAGAAUUUUCACAAAGAAACCUUCAGAGCACCCUUUUAGGUUUACUUCAAGCUUAAUUUUUAAAAAUAAAUGCAGGGCAAUUUCUAUUUUGAGUUAAGCCCUUCUUUUCGCAUGUGCACUUCGGCUUGCUGAGCCUUUUAUGUGGAUUGCAGAUAUACUGGCUGACCAGACAGCAAACUGGGGUUAGUCUUAUGCUGAGUGGGAGAAGGGAAAUGGAAAUGUUUUUAGAAAACAAAACCCUAAGCCUAAUGUAGCAAAGAUUAAGAUCCACAGAAACACUCUUCUGAAUAUUUAUGGGUAAUCCAUGAAUAAUCCUCAGAAAUAGAUAUUGCUGAUGCAAAUCAGAUGAAAAAAAAUUGGGGUGGAUUUUUCCAGCACAUAUGGCAAUAAAGAAGAGUAAAAUACAGUGAUACUGUUACCAGGGCCAUGGAUGAAUAAUUUUGAAGACUGAGAGGAAACUAAGCGAGUGCCAUUGGUUAGAGAAAUAAUCCUCUGUUAGUGAGGACCACGUUUCUCUGAUGAUUAAAAGUAGGAGACAGUAAAAAAAAAAAAAAAAAAAAAAAGAGGGGGAAA
Long non-coding RNA from Camelus dromedarius (Arabian camel), 2241 nucleotides. RefSeq lists it as uncharacterized. The record is from RefSeq and is a predicted model, not a curated record. The transcript is spliced from 3 exons. Lineage: Eukaryota; Metazoa; Chordata; Mammalia; Artiodactyla; Camelidae.